This 29-nucleotide non-coding RNA is filed under the name Rattus norvegicus (Norway rat). The record is from RNAcentral. Lineage: Eukaryota; Metazoa; Chordata; Mammalia; Rodentia; Muridae.
UGCUUGCAUCCAACUGCGGUGAGCUAAGC